This 497-nucleotide ribosomal RNA is filed under the name uncultured bacterium. Its description in RNAcentral is "partial 16S ribosomal RNA". It matches the Rfam family "Bacterial small subunit ribosomal RNA", at positions 28 to 507 of the family's 1533-position model. The record is from RNAcentral.
GAUGAACGCUGGCGGCGUGCCUAAUACAUGCAAGUCGAGCGAACAGACGAGGAGCUUGCUCCUCUGACGUUAGCGGCGGACGGGUGAGUAACACGUGUAUAACCUAUCUAUAAGACUGGGAUAACUUCGGGAAACCGGAGCUAAUACCGAAUAAUAUUUUCAUCCGCAUGGUUCAAUAUUGAAAGACGGUUUUGCUGUCACUUAUAGAUGGAGCCGCGUCGCUUUAGCUAGUUGCUAAGGUUACGGCUUACCAAGGCGACGGUGCGUAGCCGCCCUGAGAGCGAGCAGUGCCACACCGGAACUGAUACACGGUCAAGAUGACUAUGAGAGGCAGCACUAGCGAAUCUGCCACAAUGGACGGAAGCCUGAUGCGCCAAUGCCGCGUGAGUGAGGGAGGUCUUCCGAUCGAAAGACUCUGUUUUUAGGGAUGAACACAUGUGUUCGUAACGAUGCACAUCUUGACGGUACCUAAGCAGAAAGCCACGGCUAACUCCGUG